This 440-nucleotide ribosomal RNA is filed under the name uncultured bacterium. Its description in RNAcentral is "partial 16S ribosomal RNA". It matches the Rfam family "Bacterial small subunit ribosomal RNA", at positions 338 to 795 of the family's 1533-position model. The record is from RNAcentral.
CCUACGGGGGGCUGCAGUGGGGAAUAUUGCACAAUGGGGGAAACCCUGAUGCAGCGACGCCGCGUGAGCGAUGAAGUAUUUCGGUAUGUAAAGCUCUAUCAGCAGGGAAGAAACUGACGGUACCUGAAGAAGAAGCCCCGGCUAACUACGUGCCAGCAGCCGCGGUAAUACGGAGGGGGCACGCGUUAUCCGGAUUUACUGGGUGUAAAGGGGGCGCAGACGGCGAUGCAAGCCAGGAGUGAAAGCCCGGGGCUCAACCCCGGGACUGCUCUUGGAACUGGGUGGCUGGAGUGCAGGAGGGGCAGGUGGAAUUCCUGGUGUAGCGGUGAAAUGCGUAGAUAUCAGGAGGAACACCGGUGGCGAAGGCGGCCUGCUGGACUGCAACUGACGUUGAGGCCCGAAAGCGUGGGGAGCAAACAGGAUUAGAUACCCCUGUAGUC